RNAcentral lists this ribosomal RNA (451 nucleotides) under uncultured Anaerolineaceae bacterium. RNAcentral describes it as "bacterial SSU rRNA". It matches the Rfam family "Bacterial small subunit ribosomal RNA", at positions 916 to 1381 of the family's 1533-position model. Lineage: Bacteria; Bacillati; Chloroflexota; Anaerolineae; Anaerolineales; Anaerolineaceae. The record is from RNAcentral.
GACGGGGCCCGCACAAGCAGCGGAGCAUGUGGCUUAAUUCGACGCAACGCGAAGAACCUUACCAGGGCUUGACAUGCAGGGAAAAGCGGCGGAAACGUCGUGUCCGCAAGGGCCCUGCACAGGUGGUGCAUGGCUGUCGUCAGCUCGUGUCGUGAGAUGUUCGGUUAAGUCCGCUAACGAGCGCAACCCUCGUCGUAUGUUAUAUGUGUCAUACGAGACUGCCGGUAAAAGCCGGAGGAAGGUGAGGAUGAUGUCAAGUCAGCAUGACCUUUAUAUCCAGGGCUACACACACGCUACAAUGGUCUGUACAAUGGGUAGCCAAGCCGCGAGGCGGAGCCAAUCCUGAAAGCAGGCCUCAGUUCAGAUUGCAGUCUGCAACUCGACUGCAUGAAGCCGGAGUUGCUAGUAACCGCAGGUCAGCAAUACUGCGGUGAAUACGUUCCCGGGUCUU